Molecule: ribosomal RNA, 254 nt
Filed under: uncultured bacterium
Lineage: Bacteria
Description: partial 16S ribosomal RNA
Rfam family: Bacterial small subunit ribosomal RNA
Source: RNAcentral
UACGAAGGGGGCUAGCGUUGUUCGGAAUUACUGGGCGUAAAGGGCGCGUAGGCGGCGUGUCAAGUCAGGCGUGAAAGCCCCCGGGCUCAACCUGGGAACCGCGCUUGAGACUGGCAUGCUCGAGUUCGGGAGAGGAUGGUGGAAUUCCCAGUGUAGAGGUGAAAUUCGUAGAUAUUGGGAAGAACACCGAUGGCGAAGGCAGCCAUCUGGACCGACACUGACGCUGAGGCGCGAAAGCGUGGGGAGCAAACAGG